This 310-nucleotide ribosomal RNA is filed under the name uncultured bacterium. RNAcentral's name for it is "bacterial SSU rRNA". It matches the Rfam family "Bacterial small subunit ribosomal RNA", at positions 29 to 334 of the family's 1533-position model. The record is from RNAcentral.
AAUGAACGCUGGCGGCGUGCUUCAGACAUGCAAGUCGUACGAGAAAGUUUUCUUCGGAGAGCGAGUAAAGUGGCGCACGGGUGAGUAAUACUUAGAUAACGUACCUUUUCGCUGGGGACAACUGGAGGAAACUCCAGCUAAUACCGAAUACUCCGUUAGAGACUGCGGUCUUUAACGGGAAAGCCGUAAGGCGCGAAAAGAGCGGUCUAAGACCAAUUAGCUUGAUGGUGAGGUAAAGGCUCACCAUGGCUUCGAUGGGUAGCUGGUCUGAGAGGAUGAUCAGCCACACUGGUACUGGAACACGGACCAG